Mirounga angustirostris (Northern elephant seal) is the source of this 1014-nucleotide long non-coding RNA. RefSeq lists it as uncharacterized. The record is from RefSeq and is a predicted model, not a curated record. The transcript is spliced from 5 exons. Lineage: Eukaryota; Metazoa; Chordata; Mammalia; Carnivora; Phocidae.
GAGAGCUCCAUGGCCCAUGACCACUGCAGGCAUUUGGGCCAAUCAAGGCAUCUCACCCGUGUGCCCCAACAUUUCUCAUUCCCCAUCAUCCCUGACUGAAGCCAUUGUCAACUCAUGCUCAGAACCACUGCUCAGACAAAUGCAAUUUUUGAUCUUCCUCUCUGUCAGACCUGCAGCACAAGAAGCCCAGAGUCAGAGCAGGGAUAAGCUGAGUUUGGUGGCCACCUGAUGGCGCUCUAGAGCCGCACUGUCUGAUAAAGCAGCCACUAGACACUGUGGUUUUUCAUAUUUAAAGUAUUUAAAUAUAAAUGAAACUUAAAACUCAGUUCCUCAGUCUUACUAUCACAUACUCCAUCGUCACACGUGGCCCGUGGCUGCCAUAUUGGACCGCACCAAAUACCUCCACGCAGGGGAUCACAGAAGAUCUCAGUCGUUGCAGAAAGCCCUCUUGGACAGAACUGCUCUAGAAGGCAUUAUAUGUCCUGCAGGCGAUGAUUUUGGGUGAGGAGUGCUACUAGGUCGAUCUCAGUGGAAGAAAGGCCUGUCUUGUUCUGGCUCUGUCACCAACCUGCUGUGGAUUGGGGAGCUGCCCAUUCUGAGUGGAAAUCAUCCACAAAAGCAAAGAGAAAAUAAAAAGGAACUCAUCUUUCUGCCUGAGUGAAACCUUAUUCAUGCGGUUAGUCGGUGGGUCUGUUGCUCAACACCAGCUGGAGUGAACACUGGACACGAUCAUCUUAAUGAGGGAACUUCUGAUGCAAAUGAAAAGCAUAUGCUUGCGGGAAAAUAGCCUGGAAAAAUAUGGAGCAUCCAGAGCUGUAGAAGGCAUAAACUAUCUAAAAUGGAGAAACGAACACAUAACCAGAAAUGAAACAUAUUCACAGAACCUGUAAACUGGCGAAAUUUCAAAGCCAUUCUUCUUACUGAAAGUAGAAUGCUUUGUCCACCUCAUCAGAGCGAAGGUCACCUGCCUCCAUGAAGGUCAGCAGAAAGGAGGUAAGACCCAAGUAUACCGAC